Tympanuchus pallidicinctus (lesser prairie-chicken) is the source of this 1232-nucleotide long non-coding RNA. RefSeq lists it as uncharacterized. The transcript has 4 exons. NCBI's taxonomy places the organism in Eukaryota, Metazoa, Chordata, Aves, Galliformes, Phasianidae. The record is from RefSeq and is a predicted model, not a curated record.
UUUGCACUACAACAGAAUAAAAAUAUUUUCUUCUUCAAGACUGGUUUGUUUCCUCUGGUGAAGAUAAAUUGUCAAGUGCUCCCACCUCUUCAAAGAAGGAAAACAAUGAAUUAGCAGAUGUAAAUACAGGCAAAUCUACUGCAGACUUGUACAUGCAAGACUAGUCCUGAAUGUCACAGGAGAAAGGCCAACAGAAACAGAUCUUCCGUGCUUCUGCUAAAAGUAACUGGAUUUAAAAGUCAUUCACUUACCUUUGAGAUGCAAGGUAUAUCGUGAAAGAGCUCACUGUCACUUGUCAGCUUUGGCACGGAUGCUGCCCAGUGGAAAGGACCCUCACGGGAGAUGAAUACUUACAGACAAAACCAGUCCGAAUGUUUCUGACAGGGCGGCACAAAGGAUUAAAGACAGAAACAGGAAACCCGCACACCUCUGCAUCUGAAAAGAAACCGCGCCAGGGUAAGCUUCAAGUCGCUCGCUGCCUGGCUUCUAGCUUGGAUCCGCAUAGCAGGUCUUGCGUGAAGGAUAGUAAUGAAGCUCUCCCCAGUGACGAGGCAUGCCUCAGCAUUUUAAUUACAGCCUGUGAGAUUUCAGUUGUUUAUCUUAUUUGUGCUUAUAGCCAGUGUAUGUAUGAGCAAAACCAAAUUACGAGGCAAAGAUCCCAACGUCAUUUCCCAGUGUCAGGGAAUAUACCCUGCCAAGUCAUAUUUUUUCAGUGUAAGUCCCCUCAACUCUUCUUUCAGUAUGAAGAGCCUAAGAGGUGUUGUACAGAAUGUUAUACUUCCAGCUCCUUUUUCUGAAGCUGCUUAAUAUCUUUGCAAACUUUUAUAGUGUGUGUGUGUGAACUUGGAUAUAGAGUAAAGGCUGCUAGCAGGUAAUACAAUAUCCUAUCUUCUACUAGUUUAGAAGCAAAUAGCAUUUUUUACUUAAAGUAAUGUAAUGUUCAUAUUACUGGCUAAUGGCAGAAGCUGUGUCUUGUAGCUUUGUUUUCCAACUUCUUUUGUCUGAAGCCACAGCAUUGCAAUUAUCUGAUCAUCACUGAAUUCCAGAUCUAAAACUGCUUGAAUGAAGUUUAUUUUAUACAGUUGUUAAAUGCUAAUGUACAUAAAUGGGAAGCAAGAAAUUUGCUUUGUUUUGUAUUAUUUGUUGAGGAUGUUCUGUCAGCUGUCACAUUAGCCUUUUAAUUCAGAAUAGAUAGAUCUGGAAAACAGCACUGUAUUUUUUUUUGUGAAGAG